UAGCUCAGUUGGUUAGAGCACCAGCUCGACAAGCUGGGGGUCAAAGGUUCGAGUCCUUUAUCGCCCA
RNAcentral lists this transfer RNA (67 nucleotides) under bacterium. RNAcentral's name for it is "tRNA-Val". It matches the Rfam family "tRNA". Rfam says of the family: Transfer RNA (tRNA) molecules are approximately 80 nucleotides in length. Their secondary structure includes four short double-helical elements and three loops (D, anti-codon, and T loops). The record is from RNAcentral. RNAcentral also lists the same sequence under 1 other name.